UGGCAUUCCUAAUAUGCAACAGAAUGACGCUCUUCAAAGAGCCAGAGCACAGGCCAUUAUUUCCUAGAUUGUAUCAUGAACAAACUUCACCCUAGUUGAAGGGAUUAGCAGUAGCAAGUAGAGGAACUUCAGCCUAGGGGUUUAUUGUGAAGCUCAGACUCAAUAUUUUAGUUUGCAAGAUGGGCUCCUUGCCAUGUGACAUUAAGACUGGCAGGGAGAACAACAGAUACAGCAGAGGUAAAGAUGAGGCCUGAUCUGAUCUUUGUAUUGCCAAGAGCCCAGCACAGGCCCAUUUGAGGAAAAAUCAACAGAUACUGAUGGAACCACAUGAUUCUCUCAUGGAGAUGCUCACAGUAUGGACCUUUCCUAUGAAAGCAUCAACUGGAAGGUGUGGAUGGAAACCAUAUGACUCACAUUGCUACCACGGCAGCCUAAGUCCAUCUUUGUAACAGACAUGGCAACACAUCUACUAUCAGAGACUGGGCACAGAGUAAAGGACUCUUGGUUUCAAAUUUAUAGGAUACCACUGCCAGACUUAUGAUUCCUGCUAAAGUUGACCUGAGUGUCCUGCAGUAAGGGAGGCUUCAUUGCACAGUGACUUAUCCUUGCCUGCUUCUUUCUGGAAGAUUGACCUUUNUGAUUCCUGCUAAAGUUGACCUGAGUGUCCUGCAGUAAGGGAGGCUUCAUUGCAGUGACUUAUCCUUGUCUGCUUCUGGAAGAUUGACCUUCGAUCAUGUCUCAGAACUAUCAGUAUAGUGUGUCACUGCUGUUGACAGCUUUUCUGAUUAAUGUUGCUAUUCUAGUCUGAUUAGUCAACCUGAUAGAGAAUCCUUAUAAGAAUGAUUCUUUCUAGGUAUUAUUUUGGAUACAUUUUAUCAGUAAUAAAUUCCCUUCUGGUCCAGGUACACUAAGGGUAAAAGAAGUAAAAGAACUCCUUGAUAUUGAUCCAUGUUACCAGUUUGCUAUUUAUCAGACUACAAAAGAAAUAUAUGAACAAGGACUAUGUUAUAACCAAGAAACAUGUCAAAUAUUUUACUCUACUUACAUUAAAAAAAACUCCAUCAACUUUUCAUAUGUAAUUUUAUUUUUGCCUUUACUUCUAUUCCAUAUAAGCAGGAGGCCAUAUUUCAGAUGCCUUACCCUCCAUUUGAAGAAAAAAAAAAGCUCUGUUGGAUUGGAGUGCUCAUGUGUCUUCAUUUCAGUGUCAACUCAUGAAAGUUCUCCUUUAUACUCAGAUUGGCUCGAUUUCUCAUCUGUAAUGCAGCAUCCAAAAGAAAAAAAAAGGUGGAAGAUGCAGAAGACACUUGAUCAAGACAGGUGUCUUGCUCAGAAAUUUUCUACAAUGGCAUAUCAGUUUGCAAUACGUCAAAUGAAUUUUGCAUGGGGAAAGGAGUCAGGAACAAAUUAGUGGAGAAUGAAUUUUAAGACGAAUGGCAACUCUGGAGAUAAAUAUGGGAAGUCAGGACAUUAGAUUUUAACUAUUGAGAAAAUAUAGAUCAACCAGGAGAAAAACUCUAAUGAUUGAAUAGUGAUAUACACCACACUUAGGAAUGAAAAAUAGAAUAGUGAGUAAUUGAUUCGGGACAUUAGAUUUUAACUAUUGAGAAAAUAUAGAUCAACCAAAAGAAAAACUUUAAUGAUUGAAUAUUGAUAUACACUACACUCAGGAAUGAAAAAUAGAAUAGUAAUUGAUCCCAGUGGUUAACAAUAAUACAGAGAAAAGAAAAUACAGUGUAGAAUCAGUUAACUACAUCUAAGAUAAUGCUGUAUUAAUUAUUGCAAUGGUACACUGUCAUGAUUCCUAAUUAUUUUAUUUAGAAUUAUUGUUUCUAAGCCGAUAAACCAGAUUGGUUCAGGAUUUUCCAUUGGAUAUAGACUCUCUGUUUAUAUAAUACUAAGAAAGAAUGGACUGGGAAAUUUUGCAACUUUUAUUUCAGCAUUGGAAGUUUCUAGGAGCAAAGAAAUAAUUUUGCUCUUGACCUAACUUCAAUUUUUGCAGAAAUUCUUCAUGCAGAUGCAUUCACUGGUUUAAACCGGGAAGAGGGCUUGGCCAUUGUAGUUUUUCUGUCUGUUUCACUGUUUCUGCUGUUACACAUGUAUUGAUCAAUUUAGUCCUUCUAAGAUAAUUUUAUACAUACUUGCAUAAUUCAUUUAUUCUCCCAUAACUCCAUUUCAUCUAGGUUUCAAAAUUAAUAAGUAUGUAAUUGAACAUAAUAUCCUUCAAAGUGAGUCAGAUUAAUGGGCACUGAGAUAUUGGAGUUCAUGAGUAUGCAUUUUACAGUCUGUCAGUUCUUUUGUUAAUGUAAGUGCUAUAGAUAGAGAACAUAAUAGUUUCAUUAAUAUGGCUAUCUCCUUUGUAAUUCUUAUUAUGGUCACUUUGCCAAAAAAGCAUAUUUAAGUGGCUGUUUUUACGUAUCUGUGCAUCCAUUUUUCCUUCUCCUUUUAUAUCCUUACUUAAUACUUAGUGGAAUAUUUUGAUCUAAAACUUAAGAUUUUCUUCAGCUCAGAAAAUAGUCUUUGUUCCUACAGUGACCCCUUUACCUCUUACUUCUAUGUUGUAUUUUCCUAAAGUGUUUAUUAUAUGCUUUCUCAGUUUUAUCUUAUAACUUGCAUUUUUAUAUGUUAGAUCAGUAGAGCUGGGAGCAGCAGUAAGUACCCUAAUUGAUGGAAAAACACCUACCAUGUAAACGAAUGUGAAAAGAAAGCUGAGGUAGGGAUACCUCUCUUGAACAAAAUAGACUGACUUUAAAACAAAAACUGUAACAAGAGACAAGGAAGGGCCUCACAUAACCAUAUAGGGAACAAUCCAAGCAGAGGAUAUAACAAUCGUAAGUAUUCAUGCACCCAACAUGGGAACACCUAAAAACAUAAAGCAUCUAUUAACAAACAUAAAGAAUUUGAUAGUAGUUCAAUAAUACUGGGGGACAUUAACCCCCCACUUACAUCAAUGGAAAGAUAAUCAGAAAGACAGAAAGCAACAAGGACAGAAAAGCAACAAGGAAGCAAUAGUUUUGAAUGGCACACUCGACCAGAUGGACCUAAUAAAUACAUUCAGAACAUUCCA
Long non-coding RNA from Vulpes vulpes (red fox), 3064 nucleotides. Lineage: Eukaryota; Metazoa; Chordata; Mammalia; Carnivora; Canidae. The record is from Ensembl.